RNAcentral lists this ribosomal RNA (1341 nucleotides) under uncultured bacterium. RNAcentral describes it as "partial 16S ribosomal RNA". It matches the Rfam family "Bacterial small subunit ribosomal RNA", at positions 66 to 1375 of the family's 1533-position model. The record is from RNAcentral.
CCGGAGGAGCGGGCCCCCCCGGGGGGGGCGCCCCGGGGGGGGUGGGUUAUAAAAACACCGUAUUGUCCCAACCCCCCCCCUUUUUUUUUUGGGAAGGGGGAAAAGCCCCCGGAGGAAAAUUUGGAGAUUGUAUCUUUUAAAAACCCCCCCCAAAGGUUCGCCAUGUUUUCAAUGGUUAAAAGGUUUACGGAAAAGGGAUGGGCAGGGUGUCUUAUUAGUUUGUUGGGGAGGGUAAUGCUUCCCCAAGACUACGAUAAGUAGGGGGUCUGAGAGGAUUAUCCCCACACUGGUACUGAGACACGGACCAGACUCCUACGGGAGCNAGCAGUGAGGAAUAUUGCGCAAUGGACGAAAGUCUGACGCAGCCAUGCCGCGUGAAGGAUGACGGCGCUACGCGUUGUAAACUUCUUUUAUAUACCAAGAAACCUUCGGACGUGUCCGAAGCUGACGGUAGUAUAUGAAUAAGCACCGGCUAACUCCGUGCCAGCAGCCGCGGUAAUACGGAGGGUGCAAGCGUUAUCCGGAUUUAUUGGGUUUAAAGGGUCCGUAGGCGGAUCAUUAAGUCAGUGGUGAAAGCCGACAGCUCAACUGUCGAACUGCCAUUGAUACUGGUGAUCUUGAGUACGGUUGAAGUAGGCGGAAUAUGACAUGUAGCGGUGAAAUGCUUAGAUAUGUCAUAGAACACCGAUUGCGAAGGCAGCCUACUAAGCCGUUACUGACGCUGAGGGACGAAAGUGUGGGGAGCGAACAGGAUUAGAUACCCUGGUAGUCCACACCGUAAACGAUGAUUACUCGGUAUUGGCUUUAUUGUCAGUGCCCAAGCGAAAGUGAUAAGUAAUCCACCUGGGGAGUACGGCCGCAAGGUUGAAACUCAAAGGAAUUGACGGGGGCCCGCACAAGCGGUGGAGCAUGUGGUUUAAUUCGAUGAUACGCGAGGAACCUUACCAGGGCUUAAAUGUAGAACGACCGGGGUGGAAACACCCCCUUUUUCGAACGGUCUACAAGGUGCUGCAUGGUUGUCGUCAGCUCGUGCUGUGAAGUGUCGGGUUAAGUCCCAUAACGAGCGCAACCCCUAUUUCUAGUUGCCAGCGGUUCGGCCGGGGACUCUAGAGAAACUGCCAGCGUAAGCUGUGAGGAAGGUGGGGACGACGUCAAAUCAUCACGGCCCUUACGUCCUGGGCCACACACGUGCUACAAUGGUGGGGACAACGAGUUGCCAACCCGCAAGGGUGAGCUAAUCUCUCAAACCCCAUCUCAGUUCGGAUCGGAGUCUGCAACUCGACUCCGUGAAGUUGGAAUCGCUAGUAAUCGCGCAUCAGCCAUGCCUCGGAAUCGCCCCCC